UAUUCUAUCCUACGGGGAAGGAUGAGAAGCUUCGACCAAGGUUCGACUCGAGCGUCAGCGAGAGAACGUUGCCGCAGGCAAUGGCCCGAAGGGCGAGGAGCGAUAGCGACGAGUUAUCCUUCCCCCUCUAUUC
RNAcentral lists this small RNA (133 nucleotides) under Klebsiella variicola. RNAcentral's name for it is "RtT sRNA". It matches the Rfam family "RtT RNA". Rfam says of the family: This family represents a bacterial cis-regulatory element known as RtT RNA. The record is from RNAcentral. RNAcentral also lists the same sequence under 1 other name. Lineage: Bacteria; Pseudomonadati; Pseudomonadota; Gammaproteobacteria; Enterobacterales; Enterobacteriaceae.